AGAGUUUGAUCAUGGCUCAGAUUGAACGCUGGCGGCAGGCCUAACACAUGCAAGUCGAACGGUAACAGGAAGAAGCUUGCUUCUUUGCUGACGAGUGGCGGACGGGUGAGUAAUGUCUGGGAAACUGCCUGAUGGAGGGGGAUAACUACUGGAAACGGUAGCUAAUACCGCAUAACGUCGCAAGACCAAAGAGGGGGACCUUCGGGCCUCUUGCCAUCGGAUGUGCCCAGAUGGGAUUAGCUUGUUGGUGGGGUAACGGCUCACCAAGGCGACGAUCCCUAGCUGGUCUGAGAGGAUGACCAGCCACACUGGAACUGAGACACGGUCCAGACUCCUACGGGAGGCAGCAGUGGGGAAUAUUGCACAAUGGGCGCAAGCCUGAUGCAGCCAUGCCGCGUGUAUGAAGAAGGCCUUCGGGUUGUAAAGUACUUUCAGCGGGGAGGAAGGGAGUAAAGUUAAUACCUUUGCUCAUUGACGUUACCCGCAGAAGAAGCACCGGCUAACUCCGUGCCAGCAGCCGCGGUAAUACGGAGGGUGCAAGCGUUAAUCGGAAUUACUGGGCGUAAAGCGCACGCAGGCGGUUUGUUAAGUCAGAUGUGAAAUCCCCGGGCUCAACCUGGGAACUGCAUCUGAUACUGGCAAGCUUGAGUCUCGUAGAGGGGGGUAGAAUUCCAGGUGUAGCGGUGAAAUGCGUAGAGAUCUGGAGGAAUACCGGUGGCGAAGGCGGCCCCCUGGACGAAGACUGACGCUCAGGUGCGAAAGCGUGGGGAGCAAACAGGAUUAGAUACCCUGGUAGUCCACGCCGUAAACGAUGUCGACUUGGAGGUUGUGCCCUUGAGGCGUGGCUUCCGGAGCUAACGCGUUAAGUCGACCGCCUGGGGAGUACGGCCGCAAGGUUAAAACUCAAAUGAAUUGACGGGGGCCCGCACAAGCGGUGGGGCAUGUGGUUUAAUUCGAUGCAACGCGAAGAACCUUACCUGGUCUUGACAUCCACGGAAGUUUUCAGAGAUGAGAAUGUGCCUUCGGGAACCGUGAGACAGGUGCUGCAUGGCUGUCGUCAGCUCGUGUUGUGAAAUGUUGGGUUAAGUCCCGCAACGAGCGCAACCCUUAUCCUUUGUUGCCAGCGGUCCGGCCGGGAACUCAAAGGAGACUGCCAGUGAUAAACUGGAGGAAGGUGGGGAUGACGUCAAGUCAUCAUGGCCCUUACGACCAGGGCUACACACGUGCUACAAUGGCGCAUACAAAGAGAAGCGACCUCGCGAGAGCAAGCGGACCUCAUAAAGUGCGUCGUAGUCCGGAUUGGAGUCUGCAACUCGACUCCAUGAAGUCGGAAUCGCUAGUAAUCGUGGAUCAGAAUGCCACGGUGAAUACGUUCCCGGGCCUUGUACACACCGCCCGUCACACCAUGGGAGUGGGUUGCAAAAGAAGUAGGUAGCUUAACCUUCGGGAGGGCGCUUACCACUUUGUGAUUCAUGACUGGGGUGAAGUCGUAACAAGGUAACCGUAGGGGAACCUGCGGUUGGAUCACCU
Molecule: ribosomal RNA, 1530 nt
Filed under: Escherichia coli DEC9D
Lineage: Bacteria; Pseudomonadati; Pseudomonadota; Gammaproteobacteria; Enterobacterales; Enterobacteriaceae
Description: bacterial SSU rRNA
Rfam family: Bacterial small subunit ribosomal RNA
Source: RNAcentral